This 253-nucleotide ribosomal RNA is filed under the name uncultured bacterium. RNAcentral's name for it is "partial 16S ribosomal RNA". It matches the Rfam family "Bacterial small subunit ribosomal RNA", at positions 524 to 776 of the family's 1533-position model. The record is from RNAcentral.
UACAGAGGGGGCAAGCGUUGUUCGGAAUUACUGGGCGUAAAGGGCGCGUAGGCGGCCUGUUAAGUCGAACGUGAAAUCCCCGGGCUCAACCCGGGAACUGCGUCCGAUACUGGCAGGCUUGAAUCCGGGAGAGGGAUAUGGAAUUCCAGGUGUAGCGGUGAAAUGCGUAGAUAUCUGGAGGAACACCGGUGGCGAAGGCGGCAUCCUGGACCGGUAUUGACGCUGAGGCGCGAAAGCCAGGGGAGCAAACAGG